UAUUAUUAUGAUGGGAGAGCAAAUCCGCCGAAUUUAAGCAUAUAAUUAAGCGGAAGAAAAGAAAAUAACCAUGAUUCCCUAAGUAACGGCGAGUGAACAGGGAAAAGCUCAAAAAGGAAAAUCCUAUUCAUGGCGCAAGUCAUGUUAUGGAAUUGUCUGGUUGGGGUUUAGUCCUCUCUAUGUUUUUGUCGGGAGCGAAAUGAGUAGGAAUACUAUUUCUUAGAGGGUGAAAGGCCCGUAGUUCCCUACAAUUAUAGAUGGAUUAUUCUCUGUAGAGUAGUGUUCUUUGAGAUUGGAGCACAAAUGUGUGUGAUACAUUUCACAUAAAGCUAAAUAUUUGUAGGAAACCGAUAGCAAACAAGUACCGUGAGGGAAAGAUGAAAUAGCACUCAGGAAUGAGGUUUAAAUAGUACCUGAAAUCGUUAAGAUGGAACGGAUUGAGAGAGAAACAACGUAAUAUGGGAAUUAAUUAUUAGCUCCUAUGGAGCGUUUUUUAUUCCAUUUUAUAAAAGAAGCA
This 517-nucleotide non-coding RNA is filed under the name Plasmodium yoelii yoelii. RNAcentral's name for it is "Eukaryotic large subunit ribosomal RNA". It matches the Rfam family "Eukaryotic large subunit ribosomal RNA", at positions 1 to 502 of the family's 3401-position model. The record is from Rfam by way of RNAcentral. Lineage: Eukaryota; Apicomplexa; Aconoidasida; Haemosporida; Plasmodiidae.